Scylla paramamosain (green mud crab) is the source of this 1137-nucleotide long non-coding RNA. RefSeq lists it as uncharacterized. The record is from RefSeq and is a predicted model, not a curated record. The transcript has 4 exons. NCBI's taxonomy places the organism in Eukaryota, Metazoa, Arthropoda, Malacostraca, Decapoda, Portunidae.
CCACGCUGAGAGAGGGAGAAAGAGAAGAGCAUCAGAGAGGGAUGACCGUGGCAGGAAGGAUGGUGUGUUAGGUGACUGGUUCAGACAGUGACAGUGGACAGAAGAAAUGCUGGAGAAAGAUUAGACCACAGGUGGUUCAUGUUGUACUAGUUCAAGGUUUGGCAGAAAACAUUUUUUUCUAGAUAGACAGUGGCAGCAAACACACAAGGGAGGAUGGUGUGGUGGACAAGAGGAUGCAGGGAGACGGCAGACAGAAUGGAAGCUACAGAUGAAAGAAGAGCAGGUCAAGCCAUGGCAGCAGACAGACAGACAGAGACAGAUUGGAUCAGAAAGUAUUAUUAUUUAGUGAGCACCAGAAGCAGUCUUCCUCACACGAACCGUUUCAUUGCCGGGACUUGAAGGCUGCUGAAGCAAUGCGGCGGAGGUCACGCCCCUUAAAGUAUUUAUACUUACUGUCAACACCAUAACUAAAGCAAACACUUUAGUGCAGACAGGCCCACUGGAAGCUGUCAGUCUGCUGCGGCACGUGGCAAGAACCAAGUGUUGAGGAGCACACGUUGUCCUUUCACCAGUCAGCAGGUCUGGGCGGCUCGGAAGUCUCACUACAAACUGGAGAUCCAUUCUCUUGGACACAGUUGGAGUCGGACACAAGAUUCAAGAGGGAGUCAUUUUAACGAGAGCUUCAGGCAGAAAAUUCGAGUGGAUUUUCAUUUCUAAAAAUAUCUUAUUUUUUGGGGGGGAUAUUUUGAAUCCUUCUUUGUGGAAAAAUAACUCCAGAUAUUAUGAUUCUAGCUGGAAGUUGACCUGAGCAAUGUAGGGUUUGCUGCUGUGAGAUUAUCACCAAGGCACAAGUGUCCGGGAUUUAAAGAUGAUGGAAAUGUGUCCUGUGUGCUGCUGUGCUGGGAAGAGGAGAGGAGCAGCAGCAGUGGUGGGGCUCUGCUGCUGCUGUCACUAGUGCAGCUGCCUUCCCUCAACAUACUGUGUCUUCUCUCACCUGCAAUGAACAACUAUGAACAAUACUUUUGCGAUGAAGAACAGUGAAUAACACCUCUCCCCAUAUGGUUGCAAGUCUCUCUCUCUCUCUCUCUCUCUCUCUCUCUCUCUCUCUCUCUCUCUCUCUCUCUCUCUCUCUCCACA